This 251-nucleotide ribosomal RNA is filed under the name uncultured bacterium. RNAcentral's name for it is "partial 16S ribosomal RNA". It matches the Rfam family "Bacterial small subunit ribosomal RNA", at positions 524 to 769 of the family's 1533-position model. The record is from RNAcentral.
UACGUAGGGGUGCAAGCGUUAAUCGGAAUACUGGGCGUAAAGCGUGCGCAGGCGGUUAUGUAAGACAGUUGUGAAAUCCCCGGGCUCAACCUGGGAAUUGCAUCUGUGACUGCAUAGCUAGAGUACGGUAGAGGGGGAUGGAACUUCCGCGUGUAGCUAGUCGAAAUGCGUAGAUAUGCGGAGGAACACCGAUGGCGAAGGCAGGCCCCCUUGGACCUGUACUGACGCCUCAUGCACGAAGCGUUGGGAGC